CACGAAGCGCUCGAGGCCUCUCGCUUCUUCCUCUGGAUCUCGAUCUAUUUCGCCCGACGAAGAAGUCCCUCAUUGUCUCUAUCUUUGUUUGGAUCGAUCACCGUUGACUGGAGGAGACAUGGCGGAGCAACUCACCGAUGAGCAGAUCUCGGAGUUCAAGGAGGCCUUCACCUUGUUCGACAAGGAUGGCGAUGAUUGCUGGAUUUCUCCGAUGAGGCAGACACGUGAAGAGAGUGGUCCAUGAGCUUAAUUGUUGAUAACUGGAAGCAGUAGUUUUCUGCUCUCUUUAUGAUUGAUUGUGUCCUUGUUUGUUGUCCACUCCGUGUGAUCCAUUGGCUUCCUGUUUCGAGAGCAUCUCUUAAAAGACUUCUUGAUUCUUUGGUAGGUUUUGGUUUUAGACAUCUAUUGCAUACCUCCUGUAAUUUUUGUUUGGGAUUAUAGUUCAAAGUGGAAAAAAGAAACUAAUAGGUAAUGGAAACCAUUUGCUUAUUCUGGACCACUCUGUAUCCAAUGGAAACAAUUUGCAUUCUUAGGGCUUAACCUUGCUUUUCAGUUGUGUACCUCAAGAUAGAUACACUUCUGAUGGAUGAGGAGUUCGACGAGAUGAUCCUCUAGGCCAAUGUUGAUGGUGAUGGCCAGAUUAAUUACGAGGAAUUUGUGAAGGUCAUGAUGGCAAAGUGAGUCCUUAUAAGAUUCAAUAAAUGCCAGAUAUAAAAAAUCAUUACACACAGAGUAGGAAACCCUUAUCCUAUUCGCACUUGAGUCAGUGUUUGUGUUUCAUGACCGUCUGAUCUUUGUUCUCGUUGACCUGUUGUUCAUUUAUUUCUGACUUCUCAGAAAUCUAUAUAUAGACCGAUAUGUACUUCAUGUCUGUCAUUAUCUCAGCAGGUGUGCCCUUGAAACAAUGAAGAUGUCCUGUUGCUUGUCUCCAUGCCCAUAUACUAUCAAAUACAAGCAAUUCUUAUCUCAGAUCAUGGCUCCUGAGUUCUAAGACAUACUCAGUAAAACAAGGCACCUUGAAUUACUUGCUCAGGUCUCACUAUCCUCUGUAUGACUCUGUGAUGCUUCAGAAGACUCUGACCACCACC
Musa acuminata subsp. malaccensis (wild Malaysian banana) is the source of this 1088-nucleotide non-coding RNA. Lineage: Eukaryota; Viridiplantae; Streptophyta; Magnoliopsida; Zingiberales; Musaceae. The record is from RefSeq and is a predicted model, not a curated record.